This 253-nucleotide ribosomal RNA is filed under the name uncultured bacterium. RNAcentral's name for it is "partial 16S ribosomal RNA". It matches the Rfam family "Bacterial small subunit ribosomal RNA", at positions 524 to 776 of the family's 1533-position model. The record is from RNAcentral.
UACGAGGGGUCCAAGCGUUGUUCGGAAUCACUGGGCGUAAAGCGGGUGCAGGUGGCUCUGCAAGUCAGAUGUGAAAGCCCUGGGCUCAACCCAGGAAGUGCAUCUGAUACUACAGAGCUUGAGUACGGGAGAGGGAAAUAGAAUUCCUGGUGUAGUGGUGAAAUACGUAGAUAUCAGGAGGAACACCGGUGGUGAAGACGGUUUCCUGGCCCAGUACUGACACUCAGACCCGAAAGCGUGGGUAGCAAACAGG